UGGGGGAUAUUGCACAAUGGGGGAAACCCUGAUGCAGCGACGCCGCGUGAGGGAAGAAGGUUUUCGGAUUGUAAACCUCUGUCUUCGGUGACGAAACAAGACGGUAGCCGAGGAGGAAGCCACGGCUAACUACGUGCCAGCAGCCGCGGUAAUACGUAGGUGGCAAGCGUUGUCCGGAAUUACUGGGUGUAAAGGGAGCGUAGGCGGGAGUGCAAGUUGAAUGUGAAAACUAUGGGCUCAACCCAUAGUUGCGUUCAAAAUCUGCAUUUCUUGAGUGAAGUAGAGGUAAGCGGAAUUCCUAGUGUAGCGGUGAAAUGCGUAAAUAUUAGGAGGAACACCAGUGGCGAAGGCGGCUUACUGGGCUUUAACUGACGCUGAGGCUCGAAAGCGUGGGUAGCAAAACAGGAUUAGAUACCC
RNAcentral lists this ribosomal RNA (417 nucleotides) under uncultured bacterium. RNAcentral's name for it is "bacterial SSU rRNA". It matches the Rfam family "Bacterial small subunit ribosomal RNA", at positions 355 to 787 of the family's 1533-position model. The record is from RNAcentral.